This 28-nucleotide small RNA is filed under the name Bombyx mori (domestic silkworm). RNAcentral describes it as "ovarian small RNA-13071". Lineage: Eukaryota; Metazoa; Arthropoda; Insecta; Lepidoptera; Bombycidae. The record is from RNAcentral.
CACUUUGGUUUUUGCCCGAAUGACCUCA